RNAcentral lists this ribosomal RNA (253 nucleotides) under uncultured bacterium. RNAcentral describes it as "partial 16S ribosomal RNA". It matches the Rfam family "Bacterial small subunit ribosomal RNA", at positions 524 to 776 of the family's 1533-position model. The record is from RNAcentral.
UACAGAGGGGGCAAGCGUUAUUCGGAAUUAUUGGGCGUAAAGGGCGCGUAGGCGGCCUGGCAAGUGGAAGGUGAAAUCCCUCGGCUUAACCGAGGAACUGCCCUCCAAACUGCUUGGCUUGAGUCCGGGAGAGGUGAGUGGAAUUCCCAGUGUAGCGGUGAAAUGCGUAGAUAUUGGGAGGAACACCGGUGGCGAAGGCGGUUCUCUGGGCCUGUACUGACGCUGAGGAGCGAAAGCGUGGGGAGCGAACAGG